Molecule: ribosomal RNA, 254 nt
Filed under: uncultured bacterium
Lineage: Bacteria
Description: partial 16S ribosomal RNA
Rfam family: Bacterial small subunit ribosomal RNA
Source: RNAcentral
GACAGAGGCCUCAAGCGUUAGGCGGAAUCACUGGGCUUAAAGCGUGUGUAGGCGGGUCGUUAAGUACCUUGUGAAAUCCCACGGCUCACCCGUGGAACUGCUGGGUAUACUGGCGAUCUUGGGCCAUUCAGGGGCAAUCGGAAUUCUUGGUGUAGCGGUGAAAUGCGUAGAUAUCAAGAGGAACACCUGAGGUGAAGACGGGUUGCUGGGCCGACACUGACGCUGACAGCGCGAAAGCCAGGGGAGCGAACGGG